GUGCCUCCCUCGCGAACACCCCUGGUUUCGACAACGUCGGGGCGGCCUGGCGUUCUUUUUCUCGUGAGGACGUAAAACUCGCCCGGGCCAACAAACGUCGGGCUAAACCAACGCAACAAAAAACCGGCGUGAAAUACGCCAAGGAACAUGAAAGAGAGUGCGCUCUUCUGGUGCCAGCACUGCUGCGCCAGGACGGGCGUUGUCUUCUUGAUGAGUUUAUAAUGACUCUCGGCAACGGAUAUCUCGGCUCUAACAUCGAUGAAGAACGUAGCAAAAUGCGAUACUUGGUGUGAAUUGCAGAAUCCCGUGAACCAUCGAGUCUUUGAACGCAAGUUGCGCCCGAAUCCUUUUGGUCGAGGGCACGUCUGCCUGGGUGUCACGC
RNAcentral lists this ribosomal RNA (382 nucleotides) under Saxifraga gemmulosa. RNAcentral describes it as "5.8S ribosomal RNA". The stretch from base 224 to 379 matches the Rfam family "5.8S ribosomal RNA". Lineage: Eukaryota; Viridiplantae; Streptophyta; Magnoliopsida; Saxifragales; Saxifragaceae. The record is from RNAcentral.